GGCCGGGUCCCGUGCAAGGGAGGGUCGCCCAACCCCGUCAGGUCCGAGAGGAAGCAGCGGUCCGCGAUUCCAACCUGUGCCGCGGGGGUGCCUGGCCCCC
RNAcentral lists this signal recognition particle RNA (100 nucleotides) under bacterium. RNAcentral's name for it is "signal recognition particle sRNA small type". It matches the Rfam family "Bacterial small signal recognition particle RNA". Rfam says of the family: The signal recognition particle (SRP) is a universally conserved ribonucleoprotein involved in the co-translational targeting of proteins to membranes. Archaeal SRP consists of a 7S RNA and homologues of the eukaryotic SRP19 and SRP54 proteins. The record is from RNAcentral.